Molecule: long non-coding RNA, 1920 nt
Organism: Oncorhynchus keta (chum salmon)
Lineage: Eukaryota; Metazoa; Chordata; Actinopteri; Salmoniformes; Salmonidae
Exons: 4
Source: RefSeq, a predicted model, not a curated record
AUAAAGAAAAGAGACAAUAGACAUUAAAGGGGUCAGAGGAGUUCAACACUUUAGUGAAGCAGUGCGUGUGUGUGUGCGUGAGUACCCAGGGGUCAGAGGAGAUGAGGUGGUGUGUGUGUGUGCGUGAGUACCCAGGGGUCAGAGGAGAUGAGGUGGUGUGUGUGUGUGCGUGAGUACCCAGGGGUCAGAGGAGAUGAGGUGGUGUGUGUGUGUGCGUGAGUACCCAGGGGUCAGAGGAGAUGAGGUGGUGUGUGUGUGUGCGUGAGUACCCAGGGGUCAGAGGAGAUGAGGUGGUGUGUGUGUGUGCGUGAGUACCCAGGGGUCAGAGGAGAUGAGGUGGUGUGUGUGUGUGUGUGCGUGAGUACCCAGGGGUCAGAGGAGAUGAGGUGGUGUGUGUGUGUGCGUGAGUACCCAGGGGUCAGAGGAGAUGAGGUGGUGUGUGUGUGUGUGUGCGUGAGUACCCAGGGGUCAGAGGAGAUGAGGUGGUGUGUGUGUGUGUGUGCGUGAGUACCCAGGGGUCAGAGGAGAUGAGGUGGUGUGUGUGUGUGUGUGCGUGAGUACCCAGGGGUCAGAGGAGACGAGGUGGUGUGUGUGUGUGCGUGAGUACCCAGGGGUCAGAGGAGACGAGGUGGUGUGUGUGUGUGUGUGCGUGAGUACCCAGGGGUCAGAGGAGAUGAGGUGGUGUGUGUGUGUGCGUGAGUACCCAGGGGUCAGAGGAGAUGAGGUGGUGUGUGUGUGUGCGUGAGUACCCAGGGGUCAGAGGAGAUGAGGUGGUGUGUGUGUGUGUGUGCGUGAGUACCCAGGGGUCAGAGGAGAUGAGGUGGUGUGUGUGUGUGUGUGCGUGAGUACCCAGGGGUCAGAGGAGACGAGGUGGUGUGUGUGUGUGCGUGAGUACCCAGGGGUCAGAGGAGACGAGGUGGUGUGUGUGUGUGUGUGCGUGAGUACCCAGGGGUCAGAGGAGAUGAGGUGGUGUGUGUGUGUGUGUGUGUACCCAGGGGUCAGAGGAGACGAGGGGGUGUGUGUGUGUGUGUGCGUACCCAGGGGUCAGAGGAGACGAGGCGGUGUGUGUGAGUGUGUGUGUGCGUACCCAGGGGUCAGAGGAGACGAGGCGGUGUGUGUGUGUGUGUGUGUGUGUGCAUACCCAGGGGUCAGAGGAGAUGAGGCGGUGUGUGUGUGUGUGUGUGCGUACCCAGGGGUCAGAGGAGAUGAGGCGGUGUGUGUGUGUGUGUGUGCGUACCCAGGGGUCAGAGGAGAUGAGGCGGUGUGUGUGUGUGUGCGUACCCAGGGGUCAGAGGAGAUGAGGCGGUGUGUGUGUGUGUGUGUGUGCGUACCCAGGGGUCAGAGGAGAUGAGGCGGUGUGUGUGUGUGUGUGUGUGCGUACCCAGGGGUCAGAGGAGACGAGGCGGUGUGUGUGUGUGUGUGUGUGCGUACCCAGGGGUCAGAGGAGACGAGGUGGUGUGUGUGUGUGUGCGUGAGUACCCAGGGGUCAGAGGAGACGAGGCGGUGUGUGUGUGUGUGCCUGUGUGCAUGAGUCCUCAGGGUUCAGAGGAGACGAGGUGGUGUGUGUGUGUGUGCGUGAGUACCCAGGGGUCAGAGGAGACGAGGCGGUGUGUGUGUGUGUGCCUGUGUGCAUGAGUCCUCAGGGUUCAGAGGAGACGAGGUGGUGUGUGUGUGUGUGCGUACCCAGGGGUCAGAGGAGAUGAGGUGGUGUGUGUGUGUGUGUGUGUACCCAGGGGUCAGAGGAGACGAGGCGGUGUGUGUGAGUGUGUGCGUACCCAGGGGUCAGAGGAGACGAGGAGGUGUGUGUGUGUGUGUGUGUGUGCAUACCCAGGGGUCAGAGGAGAUGAGGCGGUGUGUGUGUGUGUGUGUGUGUGUGCGUACCCAGGGGUCAGAGGAGAUGAGGCGGUGUGUGUGUGUGUG